RNAcentral lists this ribosomal RNA (434 nucleotides) under uncultured bacterium. Its description in RNAcentral is "partial 16S ribosomal RNA". It matches the Rfam family "Bacterial small subunit ribosomal RNA", at positions 29 to 507 of the family's 1533-position model. The record is from RNAcentral.
AGCGAACGCUGGCGGCAGGCCUAACACAUGCAAGUCGAACGAACCUUUCGGGGUUAGUGGCGGACGGGUGAGUAACACGUGGGAACGUGCCAUUAGGUUCGGAAUAACUCAGGGAAACUUGUGCUAAUACCGAAUGUGCCCUUCGGGGGAAAGAUUAAUCGCCUUUAGAGCGGCCCGCGUCUGAUUAGCUAGUUGGUUGAGGUAAUGGCUCACCAAGGCGACGAUCAGUAGCUGGUCUGAGAGGAUGAUCAGCCACAUUGGGACUGAGACACGGCCCAAACUCCUACGGGAGGCAGCAGUGGGGAAUCUUGCGCAAUGGGCGAAAGCCUGACGCAGCCAUGCCGCGUGAAUGAUGAAGGUCUUAGGAUUGUAAAAUUCUUUCACCGGGGACGAUAAUGACGGUACCCGGAGAAGAAGCCCCGGCUAACUUCGUG